RNAcentral lists this ribosomal RNA (207 nucleotides) under uncultured bacterium. Its description in RNAcentral is "partial 16S ribosomal RNA". It matches the Rfam family "Bacterial small subunit ribosomal RNA", at positions 568 to 774 of the family's 1533-position model. The record is from RNAcentral.
CACGUAGGCGGCCUGUCAAGCGUCUUGUGAAAUCCCUCGGCUCAACCGAGGAAUGGCUGGGCGAACUGGCAGGCUUGAGGCAGGUAGGGGCACACGGAACUCUUGGUGGAGCGGUGGAAUGCGUAGAUAUCAAGAGGAACGCCGGUGGCGAAGGCGGUGUGCUGGGCCUGUCCUGACGCUGAGGUGCGAAAGCCAGGGGAGCGAACG